RNAcentral lists this long non-coding RNA (462 nucleotides) under Glycine max (soybean). RNAcentral's name for it is "long non-coding RNA (GMAX_LNC000915)". Lineage: Eukaryota; Viridiplantae; Streptophyta; Magnoliopsida; Fabales; Fabaceae. The record is from RNAcentral.
AAUUAGACACGUGUAGCUCGUUUAUUCUUUCGGUUUCUCUUUCUCACACACUCACUUUUUCUGCUACACCCACACCCUUAUCCCUCGCCUCGAAUCUCCAUUGUAGCCUCCAGGAGAAGCUCUACCACCUGGGAGAACCUGUCUCUAUCGGAGAUCGCCGUGCCCCACAGCACCUGGAAGAAGCUCCACCACGAGAAGGACAACCCACAAGAUGACAGAGUCCUCGCAGAUCCACAAUGAUAAUGGUUGCACAAUAAAGAUUGGAUUUUUUUUUUCAAAAUUGAUAAUUGAUAUGCUGUGAUUAAAAUCUGUGGUGGCUGUGGUAUUGAAGUUUCUAUUGUUUGUAUUUUUGUGUGAUUAAAAUCUAUUGAGAUGGUUUCAUAUUUUUACCCAGUUGAGGUAUUGAAGUUUGGUUGUAAGAGCGAUUUUGUUUUACUUAGAACCCUUCCCAAUUUCCAGUUG